Molecule: ribosomal RNA, 466 nt
Filed under: uncultured bacterium
Lineage: Bacteria
Description: partial 16S ribosomal RNA
Rfam family: Bacterial small subunit ribosomal RNA
Source: RNAcentral
GACGAACGCUGGCGGCGUGCUUAACACAUGCAAGUCGAACGGAAAGGCCCUGCUUGCAGGGUACUCGAGUGGCGAACGGGUGAGUAACACGUGGGUGAUCUGCCCUGCACUUCGGGAUAAGCUUGGGAAACUGGGUCUAAUGCCGGAUAGGAACCAUCUUUAGUGUGGUGGUUGGAAAGUUUUUUCGGUGUAGGAUGAGCUCGCGGCCUAUCAGCUUGUUGGUGGGGUAAUGGCCUACCAAGGCGGCGACGGGUAGCCGGCCUGAGAGGGUGUACGGCCACAUUGGGACUGAGAUACGGCCCAGACUCCUACGGGAGGCAGCAGUGGGGAAUAUUGCACAAUGGGCGCAAGCCUGAUGCAGCGACGCCGCGUGGGGGAUGAAGGCCUUCGGGUUGUAAACUCCUUUCGCUAGGGACGAAGCUUUGUUGUGACGGUACCUAGAUAAGAAGCACCGGCUAACUACGUG